GAGAUCAGUAACUUUUCCCAGAUCAGGCAUCUGCUCUUAAGACGGGUGGAAGGAUCUGAAAGCUGGCUUUGAAGCCAGGGCCCCCUUCCCUCUAACUGGGAGAAGAACUUAUCAUCUCUAUUGAGAGGUUUCCAAUCGGAAGGAGGAAGGGAGAGGUCAGGGAAGACAGACCCGGGAGCUCUACAAGCAGAUCCAGACCAGCUCUAACUCAGUUUCCCCCGCUGGAAUCGCAGCACCAGACUGGCUGUCGGAAGUCACAGGGCGGGCAGAGGCAGUGCAGAAGAGCGGACGGAGCUGCAGACACUUACCUGGGGACUCUGGCCCUCCAUCACAUCCCCGCAGCCCACGCGGUGGGGUCCCGAGGUUCAAAUCAACAGCAGAUCAAAAACAGCAUUUUGGACCCCUGCCUGGGAAUCUGCAGAUGCGGCGGGCCGACUGGAUGCGUUGUUCUAAGCCAUUUUAUAGUGAUGUGCAGACAUGAAGCUCGAACUGUCUGUUGCAGCUACCCUGCUGCCUUGAGGAUGAAGCUGCCCACAGAGGACGGCAGACCAGAGAGGAUCGGAGAAACAGAGUCAUAUCUGUGAAGACAUUAGGAAUCUCUGGAUUAGACUAUACCUGAAACCUGACCCAAUCCUAGACUUUCUAGUUACAUAAAUCCCCUUUUUUGUUUAAACCACUGAGUUUAGAUUUCUAUAGCUUGAACCAAAAGCAUCUAAACUGAUAUACACUGAGCCCUGAGCCCACAUUUUUUAAUUAUUACAUUAUUCUGUUUUCUUUAAGGUGCUCUGAGUUGGGCCCUGGCUGGUGUGGCUCAGUGGACUGAGCACCAGCCUGCGAACCAAAGGGUCGCUGGUUUGGUUCCCAGUCAGGGAGCACGCCUGGGUUGUGGGCCAGGUCCCCGGUAGGCAGUGCGUGAGAAGCACCCCCUUGCUGUUUCACACUGCAAGCACACAUUGAUGUUUCUCUCCCUCUCUUUCUCCUUCCCUUCCCCUCUGUAUAAAAAUAAAUAAAAUAAAUAAAAUAAUAAAAUGAAAUAAAAAUGCUCUGAGUUGGAUCAGAGUUCAAGUCAAAGCAUGUCUGGCAAGAAGAGACCUUAGAGAUCAUUUCUGUCAACCUUCCCCACAAUGUUCUCCACCCUACCUCCACCUCCCCACUGGCCUAGUACAUAUUGAAUACGUGUGCUUUAACGGUGGAGAAAUCAAGGUCCUAUGUGGUUAAGUGAGCAGCUCAAGGUCACGGGCAGAACUAUUAUUACACAUAGACCUCCUGAUUGCCAACUAUCUGGUCCAGUGGAAAACUCCAAACAACCUAUAAUCCUAAUGUCAUUCCAUUUAACUUUGGAAAAUAAUAAAUGAUUUUCUUUCCACUGCA
Long non-coding RNA from Phyllostomus hastatus (greater spear-nosed bat), 1371 nucleotides. RefSeq lists it as uncharacterized. The transcript has 3 exons. The record is from RefSeq and is a predicted model, not a curated record. Lineage: Eukaryota; Metazoa; Chordata; Mammalia; Chiroptera; Phyllostomidae.